This 2387-nucleotide long non-coding RNA is filed under the name Mytilus galloprovincialis (Mediterranean mussel). Lineage: Eukaryota; Metazoa; Mollusca; Bivalvia; Mytilida; Mytilidae. The record is from RNAcentral.
AACGGCGAAUUAAUAAAUGUGAAUCAAAGAUAAAGAAUCAGAUUGUAUAUGGUUGUGAAUGACGAUUUAAUGACUAGUUUACCAUAUCAUUCAAUUGGAUUUUAGAACUUGGUAUGUAUUUUGUAUAAACUUUAAAGUCAUAUGAAACGAGUGACUGGUGAAAGAUAACGUUUAUCCAAUUCUUGUACCAAUGUAUGUAUAUAUCAUAGACUUUGUCUUCUGUGUUUUUAGGCAAACAUAUCGUAUAAUCGUCAAUUGGUUUUUUUCUGUCUGUUAUGAUUUUUGAAUAUGGCAGCUCAUUUAUUGUUGUGAUUUAAAAAUGUAGUUUACUGAUUGCUAACUUCUAGUAAACAAUCAACAAAGAAACAUGGAUAUUGAGCACGUGUAUAAUAUGUACAAUCAGAUAAUAGUUUAUGUCAGUAAUAGAUCCAUGGUUAUUGCGAUCACCGGACUUUUACCAGAGGGUCACGCUAAAGUCACUAAUUUUAAUUUUAAGCUUUAACCUAGCCUAAAUUGGAGAUUAUAAAAAGAAGAUAGUAUUGGUUGAUCUAAAUAUAUAAGUAUUUUGUCUUUAAUAGAUAGGGGAUGAAUGCUAGCAGUGCUAGUGAUGGUUUUCCUUAAACAAGUUUAAAGAAAAGGAAAUUAGUUGAAACAAGUGUAAAUAUGAUUUUUCAAAGUACAAUGGUUCAGCACAAAGAUUUUCUAAUUGUAAAGGUUAUUGUAAAUUUUUGUUAUAAUGCAAAACUCUGUAUUUUUAUGUUCUUAUCAAAAUAGUUCAAACCGUAGAACUGUCAGCAAAACUGACUAAAUCAGUUCUAACUAUAGGAAUAUCAGCAGAACUGUCUAAAACUGUUCUAGCCGUAGAACUGACCAAACCUCUCAGGAUUGUAGAACAGUUCUACAUGACGUCACUGCAGUUAGAGCAUCUCACUGGUCACCAUUCAGUGUUAUAAUCGAUUUUUUAAUAUAUAUUAUAUUCUUUUGACUUAAUUAUAUUAAAGACAAAGAGUUCUUAUAACUAUUCUAUGGAUAAAACUAAAUCAAUUCUAGACGUAGAACUUACCAUAUCGGUUCUAAUCGUAGAACUGUUCUGGUCGUAGAACUGUUCUAGUCGUAGAACUGUUCUAGCCGUAGAAUUGUUCUGGUCGUAGAACUGUUUUAGCCGUAGAAAUGUUCUGGUCGUAGAACUGACCAAAUUAGUUCUAGGUUAGAAAUGUUCUAGCUAGGACUGUAAAAGGUGUCAGGAUGACAGUUCUACGUAGCCAUAGAACAGUUCUUCUGACAAAUGCUGACAGAUUUGACGAGAGGUUAGAAAUGAUAUUUACUGUAAAGCAUCCCCUUUUUAGCAUAUACAAUAUUUCACUACACACAUUGAAUGGUUUUUUUUAAGUUCAUUUCUAUAUUUUAAUAAGAGAUAGACCAAGGAUUUGUUUAACUGUCUUAUAUCCACAGUUUUGUACAGCUUGAUAUGGCUAUGAAUUGCUCAGAGAUUGAUUUAAAACCAUACAAACCAAUGCUGAUAACAAAAUUAUUAUUUGACAUUAAAAUACACGAGAAAUUGGAAAUGCAAUAUAUAAAAAUUUAGAUAUAAGCUAGAUGAAUUAGCCAUAAUGAUUAUAAUCAAAGGAGAAAGUGGUAAUACAACAGGGACAAAAGCUGAAGAGUGUCGAUAUAUCGUAUAAUAGUUGUAUAGGGAGAUAGAACAUUGCACUUGGAUUUCAAAGAGAUAGUUAUCACAAAAGUGGACAUAUAACACAAUCAGAUUCAUACGACAGGGUGCCGAUUACAUAAUCGAUAAACAUAAGAAUGUUAACUUAAAUGUUUUGUCCAUUUAUUUCUGGGAAAUAAUUUAAAUACCUUGUAGUAACGCACUUGUUUGUUAUCAAAUACAAAUAAUGUCACAGAAACAGACCCUUUGUUUUUACCAUAGCAGUAGCCAAUGUAUAAUUAGGUUUUUAAAUAUAUAUAUAUAUAAAUACGUCUAGGAAAUAGACUUUCGAAAUAAUAAACAUUUAUGUAAACUCAUUGUGCAUAACUUUCUCACAAUAUGAAAUAAGAAAAGGAAAAAAUAUAUUGGAAAAAUUAUACAGAGUAUGACUUCGAAGAUACUGGUUUCAUUUUAAACAUAGUUGACAGUUGACAAUGUAAAGUUAUAACCUUCGAUUUGUGUCUCAUACUCAGCACAGAGAUCAUUUUUUUGGUGAUAAAAAAAUACCAAAGCAGUCACAUAUCAUAUAGUACAUGAUCAACAAGAAUAUCAGACAAAAGAACCAACCGACAUGAUAUGGUACGUUAAUGAUGAUUGUUUUGAGUAAACGAAGCCAGACUGAGUCUUCCAAUGGAGAUGGUGGAUGAUCGUAAGUUCUCAUUUUCGGACUGAUCACCUG